GAUCUGGCUCAGGAUGAACGCUAGCGAUAGGCCUAACACAUGCAAGUCGAGGGGCAGCACAUGAGUAGCAAUACGAUGGUGGCGACCGGCGCACGGGUGAGUAACACGUAUGCAACCUACCUUUAACAGGGGAAUAACCCGUUGAAAAACGGACUAAUACUCCAUGACACAGGGGUCCCGCAUGGGAAUAUUUGUUAAAAGAUUUAUCGGUUGAAGAUGGGCAUGCGUUCCAUUAGCUUGUUGGUGAGGUAACGGCUCACCAAGGCUACGAUGGAUAGGGGAACUGAGAGGUUUAUCCCCCACACUGGAACUGAGACACGGUCCAGACUCCUACGGGAGGCAGCAGUGAGGAAUAUUGGUCAAUGGAGGCAACUCUGAACCAGCCAAGUCGCGUGAAGGAUGAAGGUCUUAUGGAUUGUAAACUUCUUUUGCAAGGGAAUAAAGUGGGGGACGUGUCCUCCUUUGCAUGUACCUUGCGAAUAAGGAUCGGCUAACUCCGUGCCAGCCGCCGC
RNAcentral lists this ribosomal RNA (512 nucleotides) under uncultured bacterium. Its description in RNAcentral is "bacterial SSU rRNA". It matches the Rfam family "Bacterial small subunit ribosomal RNA", at positions 15 to 518 of the family's 1533-position model. The record is from RNAcentral.